This 576-nucleotide long non-coding RNA is filed under the name Homo sapiens (human). Its description in RNAcentral is "HSALNT0367433". Lineage: Eukaryota; Metazoa; Chordata; Mammalia; Primates; Hominidae. The record is from RNAcentral.
GAUGCUUGCCUGUCCCAGUGGAAUUAAUGGAAGCUGUCAACAGCCCGCCCCCGACCUCACUGGAUAUAACUGUGUCCUCGGCAGACGAGAGAAUAACCAGAGGAAGGGCUGAAAAUCCUGGAGAACACCAACAUUAACAAGCUUCAGUUUGUCAGAACCAGUUGGGAUGCAACAGGAUUUUCAGUUUUGCUGCCUUCCAUGCAUGAAUGGCUGUUGGAAUGACCAAGAUGAUUUUUCCACCCAUUCUUGGGACCUGGACUAUGAUGGCCACAGCAGCUAAAGAUGCCAGGUUCUGCAUACUAUGAAACUACUACAUCAGCAGGUCCAAAGGACUCCACUGACUCAACUGAUCUGAGGGACCCCAUGAGAAGCCUACUCAUCAAAGAAUGCAGUUUCUAAAUCCUGAUGAGUUCACCCCCCUUGCCCUGACCAAUCAACAAUCCUAAUUCUCCAGUCCCUUGCCCUCCAUGAUCCUCUUAAAAACCCUAGCCCAGAAUUCCUCAGGAAGAUGGAUUUGAGGGUCUCCUUCCAACUCCUCACUCAGCGCCCUGUGGUCAUUAAACUUUCUCUGCUGCA